UAUAGCUCAAGUGGCAGAGCACUUGCUUAGUAUGCAUGAGGUCCUGGGUUCGAUCUUAACCCCAGUA
Molecule: transfer RNA, 67 nt
Filed under: Camelus bactrianus (Bactrian camel)
Lineage: Eukaryota; Metazoa; Chordata; Mammalia; Artiodactyla; Camelidae
Also listed under: 1 other name
Rfam family: tRNA
About the family: Transfer RNA (tRNA) molecules are approximately 80 nucleotides in length. Their secondary structure includes four short double-helical elements and three loops (D, anti-codon, and T loops).
Source: Rfam by way of RNAcentral